GAUGAACGUUGGCGGUGUGCCUAAUACAUGCAAGUCGAACGGAGUUAGUAGCAAUACUGGCUCAGUGGCGAACGGGUGAGUAACGCGUUGGUGAUCUGCCUUGAAGUGUGGAAUAACGUUUCGAAAGGAACGCUAAUACCGCAUGUGCUCUCGAUUUUCAGAAAGUUGAGAGUAAAGGAUUUAUUCGCUUCAAGAGGAGCCUGCGUCCCAUCAGCUGGUUGGUAGGGUAACGGCCUACCAAGGCUAUGACGGGUAGGGGACCUGAGAGGGUGGCCCCCCACAAUGGAACUGAAACACGGUCCAUACACCUACGGGUGGCAGCAGUAGGGAAUAUUAGAAAUGGGCGAAAGCCUGAACUAGCAACGCCGCGUGUGCGAAGAAGGCCUUCGGGUUGUAAAGCACUUUUUGAGAGGAUGAGGAAGGACGGUACUCUCAGAAUAAGUCUCGGCUAACUACGUG
RNAcentral lists this ribosomal RNA (459 nucleotides) under uncultured bacterium. Its description in RNAcentral is "bacterial SSU rRNA". It matches the Rfam family "Bacterial small subunit ribosomal RNA", at positions 28 to 507 of the family's 1533-position model. The record is from RNAcentral.